RNAcentral lists this ribosomal RNA (511 nucleotides) under uncultured bacterium. Its description in RNAcentral is "partial 16S ribosomal RNA". It matches the Rfam family "Bacterial small subunit ribosomal RNA", at positions 28 to 523 of the family's 1533-position model. The record is from RNAcentral.
GACGAACGCUGGCGGCGUGCCUAAUACAUGCAAGUAGAACGCUGAAGGAGGAGCUUACUUCUCUGGAUGAGUUGCGAACGGGUGAGUAACGCGUAGGUAACCUGCCUGGUAGCGGGGGAUAACUAUUGGAAACGAUAGCUAAUACCGCAUAAGAGUAGAUGUUGCAUGACAUUUACUUAAAAGGUGCAAUUGCACCACUACCAGAUGGACCUGCGUUGUAUUAGCUAGUUGGUGGGGUAACGGCUUACCAAGGCGACGAUACAUAGCCGACCUGAGAGGGUGAUCGGCCACACUGGGACUGAGACACGGCCCAGACUCCUACGGGAGGCGGCAGUAGGGAAUCUUCGGCAAUGGACGGAAGUCUAACCGAGCAACGCCGCGUGAGUGAAGAAGGUUUUCGGAUCGUAAAGCUCUGUUGUAAGAGAAGAACGAGUGUGAGAGUGGAAAGUUCACACUGUGACGGUAUCUUACCAGAAAGGGACGGCUAACUACGUGCCAGCAGCCGCGGUAA